Molecule: transfer RNA, 80 nt
Filed under: Ipomoea nil (Japanese morning glory)
Lineage: Eukaryota; Viridiplantae; Streptophyta; Magnoliopsida; Solanales; Convolvulaceae
Rfam family: tRNA
About the family: Transfer RNA (tRNA) molecules are approximately 80 nucleotides in length. Their secondary structure includes four short double-helical elements and three loops (D, anti-codon, and T loops).
Source: Rfam by way of RNAcentral
GACAGUUUGGCUGAGUGGUCUAAGGCACCAAAUUUAGGCUUUGGUUUGAAAGGGUGUGGGUUCAUAUCCCACAGUUGUCA